RNAcentral lists this microRNA (21 nucleotides) under Pongo pygmaeus (Bornean orangutan). RNAcentral describes it as "ppy-miR-578". Its record names the gene ppy-miR-578. The record is from miRBase by way of RNAcentral. Lineage: Eukaryota; Metazoa; Chordata; Mammalia; Primates; Hominidae. RNAcentral also lists the same sequence under 1 other name.
CUUCUUGUGCUCUAGGAUUGU